CCAUGCCAACAACAAUCCAGUUCCACAGUGUGUAAGGGUGGCUGUGGGGACAGCCUCCAGAGCUGACAGAGAGGCUCUGGAUACUUCAUGACGGUCAAAUGGACAGAGUGGGUCCGGACACCCCAGCCACCUUUCUGCACACACGUGUGGACACAGGAGGACACAUGCUUGGUGUUGGGGAUUGAACUCCAGCAGUAGUGUGAGGGAUCCAGUAAGACAUGAGAAAGGUCUUCCAGCCGGAGAAAGGUUCAGCCCUGCAGUGUGUCACUGGAAAAGGAUGCCGAAGUGCUGCCUGAGAGAGAAUAUGUCUGAUGAGUGAGGGGUGGAGUCCUGCAGUUCUACAGAAGCCCCUGGCUGCCUAGACAGUGAUAAGGAUAACAGGAAAUGCCUCUCUGGGUGGCCUCUUCCUUUCCUGCCAGGGCCCAGGGCCAUUCUGAGGACUGAGCAAUAGCCGUGGAAGGUAGGUCUGGCUGAGUUAGCUGCUGUGUGCCCACAGGCAUGCCUGCCUUUCUUCCUUUUCUUAGUAGAACCCAUCCAUCUACUAAUAUGUCUUAAGAGCCAGGCCAAUCCUCUUCCACACAGAGCAAUAUCAGAAAACCCAGGAAAUGCUCAGAGCCAAGAAGGAAGUCAUUGCUAGUCUCCAUGGGCGUAUUCUAAGUCCCACAUGUGAAAGAAGGAGGCCUCUCCCCAUGGGUGUACAGAGAGCUGGACACAUGGUGAAGUCACCCCAUAGCUGAGGGGCUAUCCAGAUGCACCCGGAUGGACAAGCCAACUUCUUCAGAUUAAAGGGGAUAAAAAUGACUCCUCCUUGUCCAUUUCUAUGGUAAGGCACAAACCAAAUGCCUCAUGUAACUGCAUGUGUUUCCUGCAUGGUAAAAUGUUCAUUCUGCAGGAGUUAAUAAACACUAACUGCUGAAUUGACACAUGAAUAAAUCUCCCCCAGAUUCGACAUCAGAGAGGCAUUAAUAAAUUAUUCGGUGGGGGGGGGGGUGAAGGGUUAGUAGUUAGCGUCACUAGUGAGAAGACUAUUGGGAGAGGACACAUCGGCAGAACUUGGUCCCAACGAUUCAUAGUAAAUACAGAGAAGGAAUUACUCGUGGGUUUGCCUGUGUUGUCCAGUGCCCACACUGCCACAUGUGCAUGAACAAAAGAGCAACCAAGCCACUGCCUAGGAUAAGGUCAGCCAGGUAAUCUAAAACAGGAAGGACACACAACGUAGGAUCUCAUAGAAGGGUAAGCAAGCAACUCACAGAAGGUGACUUCCAAACUACCCUGUCCUCAUAGCUGUUCCUAUGGAAUAAAGAAACUGUCCUGGAGCCGAAGUUGUAGGCUGAGCUGUAUGCUUUUCCACUGGGGAGUAAAGACUGCCUGCGCCCUGAGGUCCAUGGAUACCUACUGAGCCUCACAGAGCACUGAGGCCAGCAGCCAGCCCCAUGAACAUUGUCACCAAAAGGGCAGUGGCAACUGUGUUUUUGAUGAGCGCUAUGCUCUGAGCUCUGUGAAGGGACUGUGAGUUAAAUUGAAUAAUAACCAUAAAAAUGCUCAAUAAUAAUAACUACUUGUCUCUGAUGGCAAAGAAAACUGUAGAUGAGCACAGGGAAGGUAAAGAAAGGGCAUGCUUACAUUUGUUGCCUUUAUGAGCGAUAAGAAACUGACGGUAUGGCAUUGGAAUGUAUACUUGUGGCACACUUAAUUUAAACUAAAUAUGUAUGGAUCUGGCUUCUUGAGGCUUUCUUUCAAAACACUGGGGAAACGCAGUACCCAUGAAUACUUUAAGGUUGCACUGAAAUGUAUAUAAUUCUUUUUUUAAAACCAUUCUUGAGAUAUUACCAGAAGGCCCUGAACUGUCUCUUUUGAAAGCCAGCAGCAAUGUCAUCAGCAAUUGUGAUUUCUGUGUUCCUUAUCAGCCUAGGGAAUGGACAAGACAAUACAAGCCAUUAGGUCCCACAUUUGCAUCAAAUCCCAGAGGAAAGCAUUUAGGAGGGACAGAACGCAAGACAAAGGGACAGGUUGAGGAAAGAGCUGGAACUGGAUGGUGUCUCAGGAGAACAGCUGAGGUACAGCCAAUGCCUCGGUGGCAGGCUUGAAGUACGCCUGCUGCAUUUACCUUGUGACAGCCUCGUAUGCAAUCAUCAAAUGGUACCACAAGGAGAGAGCACACAUUCAGAACUCACUGUAAGAGCCAGCCUGCUUCAGAGACACUGACCAGCAAGCAAUCACGGUGCUGCACAUCACACAGGGUGGAGCCAGCCGUGCGUGAGCUUCGAUGGGCGACCACAGCAAGGAAAUGGAAGCCAAAGAGAACCAAGCGCUGAACGGGCAAUAAUAGAAGACCAACAGCUUCCUAACAAAUCAAAGAAGCUCUAAGUACAGAAAAUGCCUUUCGCAUGCUCAUAUGGCCAAGACUUCCCGCUGAUUUCUAGUUGCUGACACCACAGCUGAACAGAUAACUGGAGAAAGACAAGGCUGUUCCUCAUUCACCUGCCUCGAUUAAAGACCCGAAAAUGAAUACUGUGUAGGCAAAGACGGGAUUCCCCUCAGAGAGCAACAGUGGGUGAGGAUAAUCCUAGGUGUGGCAAAGAUCGAGGACCUCCACAAAGGCUCCAGCUGCAGCUUGCUGGGCUGUCUGUCCCACCAGCAGACAGGCUUCAUCAGGAAUGAAAACCAUGUAAAUAUCUUUGGACUUAUUUCUGUGGCUCGUUUUUUUUAAUGAUGUGUAUCAAUGGGUAUGUAAUUUGCUUAGGAUAACAUUUUCCCUAAUAUACCUCUAAGCACCUGCAUGAGCCAGCUCAUGUCUAAGCAAAAUUAAAAAAGCCUUUUGCAUGGCAAAUACUCUCCAUGGUGUUAGAGAUGGCCUGCCACCGGCAUGCUGUGAUUUGCUGCUGCAAUCUGACUUCUCUGCCAUAGGACUUUAUUUCAGCCAUGGAACUGACAUGGCAGAUGAUAGCAGUGUUGAUCUUGAGAGGUGCCUGACUUAGAAAGGCCCGCUGGUCUUGUCACCUUUCUGUUUCUUCAUUAGUCAGAACAUAUGUCAGCUAUCACUAUAGAUAGUUUUGGAACCAUUGCUUUGGAAUUUCCCCUAGAGCAUCCUCAAUAAAAGGUGAGGCAGGACAUUUGAUUUCAUUUUCCACUUUGGGUCGAAUAUCCUCUUUCUAGCAUACAUUCUGAAAGGAAGAGGUUGGGGUUUAUGGGGUAACAGUGUAUCAAGGAGAAAAGGGAGCAGUCACAUUGCAUUGCUCAAAGCUACAUACAAUCUCUGCAUUUAAGGACAGGUGGGCAAAGCGAGUAGUGUGUGCCUCGUUUUGGCAGCUAGGGCAAAGGACUUGGGAAGUUGAAAUGCUGUUUAAGAGGGAGGAGUGAUCCUUAUGACCAAAAUAUAUUGUGUGAAAUUCUCAAAUGAUUAACAGAAUCUUUUUAAAGUCACGUGCACAGGUUCCCAUCAGGUAAAGAACUGGAACUUGAGUUCUCAUGUUGUAGUCUCCAGAGUGGAUGCAAUUGUAGCAAUCCCAGGGCAUUUUUUAAAAUUAAGGUAAAAGAUAAAUCAUAGGCUACCAUUUUAAAAUGUAUCUACCAGGGCUUGGCAGUGGGAAAUAGAGACCAUUAUAACUAUUUUAAACAGGAAAACCAGGGCUCAGAAAACAGGAAAGUAGGCUGUAGGCCAGAUUUCCAGACAUGGCUUCAGGUGUACCUUGCUGGACUGUCCUUUAAUGGGGCUGUCCUUUCUACCCUAAUCAAAAGAUGGGAGUGGCCCAUGAUGUUGGGGGUUCUAGAACACUGACCCAGACCUUGGAGACUGCAGACUACCAGUGUGAUAAUUGUUUCUCUAGACACUUGAAACCAGUGACCAUACAUGCAUAGAACUUGGAUACAGUACACACUUGGCUUGCUGAAGGUUGGUUCUCUGUCAUACUCCCAUUUACCAAUAAUGGAUAUGUCUAGUGGAGAAACCUGCUAUGCACUACUUAAACCUACCUGAGAAAGAUUCUGAGUAAUAUAUGAUUGGAAUAAAUACUGUCAACUUAUAGGCAAAUUCCAGAACAUUGAAAUUCUCUCUAGAUGGACACACACACACACACACACACACACACACACACGCACGCACGCACACUCACGGGGAGGGCUUCUUUUAAUAUCCAUUAUAUUUAUUAUUCCUCAUUUAUUUGUCCUUAUGACUUUUCUCUCUUGAGCUAAUGCAGAAUAUGAUUUUGGAUCUCACCCCACUAAAAACAUUGAGAGUGCAAUAGUCCAGAAGGGUGUGGUGGUACAGGAAUGGGUCUGAUCUUAAUGAUGCAAGCACCCACUCUCAGCCUUAGAAGAACAAGAGGAGGAAGAGAAGGCUGUCGUCUCCACAUAGGCAAGGAGGCCAUGGCUCCGGGAAUAGGGGAACACAGAUACUUGACAGAGACUCACAGGAAGGGAGAGUUAGACUCAGCAGUGAUACUAGAUCUGGUGGCAAGCCAAGCACACUGUUCGGGCAGACAGAAUCCCCUGUGGCAUGAGGUAAUUACUGUGAACCAUAUUUACCAUUUGGUUAUAUACAUUUGAGGCACAGAUUGAUAUACAGCAGAAAAAUGUUAGACUGUAGAUUUUCUUCCUAUGUCUCCAACUCAUUUCAUAGCCCGUGGCCUACAGCAGCCCUUCAAAUAGAGUCUGGAUGGAAGCACGAAGAGACGAACACAGCCAGGUACUACCAGCGCAUCAGUGGGGCGGAACUGGUCUCCAUGAGCCACCCACAGGGACUACUGCAGAGCAGGAGAGUGGGCAAUGGUGAGUGUGGAAUGACUCUUGGCUGGCAAGCAACUGCCUCCUGAAUAGUCAGAGGAGUAUCCUUACAUCCUAAUGACAUCGUGAAACAAUUAGAACCACCAUCAGUCCCUUUUCCUCCAUCCUUGUGACUCACUGGUAAAAGCUAGAGAAUCCCUCAUCAAUUACUAAGUUACUAACCUGUGAGUCAGGUGGAUUAGAGAGGCUGAACAAUCUGCA
This is a non-coding RNA of Rattus norvegicus (Norway rat), 4983 nucleotides long. The record is from RefSeq and is a predicted model, not a curated record. Lineage: Eukaryota; Metazoa; Chordata; Mammalia; Rodentia; Muridae.